GUAUGACAAGCCUGCCUGAGGCAGACAAAACUCCCACUGAGAACUGGAAAAAUGCAAAAUGAAAAAUUUAUCUUGAAAUGACCAGAGAGCUAUCAGAGACAUUCAGGAAAUGAAUAAGAAAUAAACUAGAGCAAUAUCAUAUUACUUGAAGACAGACUCUGAUUAUGUAUACUGUAAAUUCUGUGGCAGCCAAUACAAAAAUUAAACACAUUAUAGAUUAUGAGUCAAAAGGUGAAGAUAAAAUAAAAUCAUAAAAUAUGUCCAAUCAACUCAAAAGAAAUCAGAAAGAUGAAAUUUAAAAAAAAACAAAAUAGAUGGAACAAAUAGAGAUCUAGCAAGAUGGCAGAUGUUAAUCAAAAUGCAACAAAUAUAAUUUUAGCAGCAUAAACACACCAAUUCAAGGACAGAGAUUGACAGAGUGUGUAUAAAAGCAAGACAAAACUAUAGGCUGUCACAAGACAGCCACCUGCACAUACAAGAGUUCAAACAGAAAGAAUGAAGAAACAGACACCCUGAAACACAACACACAAGUAACAUUAUCAGGUAUAAAGAGAAACAAAUCUUUGUGUGUGUGUGCACCUAACAACUAACAAUACAUUUUAAAAUAUAUAAAUAAAUCUGAUAGAAAUGAAAGGUAAAACAGACAAGUCCACAAUUAUAGUUUAAGAUUUCAUCACUCCUUUGUCAAUAAUUAAUAGAACAAGUAUUUAGAAAGUCAAGGAGAGUACAGAAAAGCUGAACAACACCGUCAACCAACUCUAUCCAAUUGACACCUGCCUAUGGAAGAGUCCACUCACCCACAGAAGAGUACAGAGACUCUUCCAAUGUGCAUGGAACAAUCACUAACACAGGCCAGACUCUGGGCUAAAAAACAAAUCUCAACAUGUUUAAAUAAAUAGAAAUAUACAGUGUGCUCAGAGAUUGUGAUCGAUAAUUAUAAUGGAAUUAAACUGGAAAAAACCUAGCAAAAAUAUAUCUGGAAAAUUUCUCCAAAUAUUUGGAGAUAAAAUUGUGCAUGACUAAAUAACCUGUGAGUCAAAGUAGUUUCAGCUAAAAGUAAACAUUAUUUUAAAGUAUAGAGGAAAUUAAAUGUGACAUCAGAACUUGCAGGAUCUAACUAAAGUAGUUCUUAGGGGAACAUUUUUAUUUAAAUACCUAUAUUAUAAGAGAAGAAUCUCAAAUGACUACUCUAAGCUGGUAUUAUAAGAAAUUGGGAAAAGAAGACAAAAUGAAGCCCAAAACAAGAAGAAAUAAUAAAGAUGAACAGAACCCCAGAUUUAGAAAAUAUACAUUUUUAAAAAAUUAAUAAACCAAAAUCCACUUAUUUGAAAAGAUCAAUACAGUUGAUUAGCUUUUAGACAGACUUAUCACAGAAAAAAGUCAGAAAGCACAAAGUACCAUAUCAAUAAUGAAAGAGAAUACAUCAUUACAGAUUGUGUACAUAUUAAUAAACCUAUAAGAUUAAUUUUGAAGCAUAGAUGACAUAGACCAAUUUCUUGAAAGAUACAAACUACCAAAAGUCAAUAAAUGAGAAAUAGAUUAGAUGAGUAGUUCUAUUAUUUAUUAAGGAAGUAAAAUCUAGAGUUAAAAACCUUCCAACAAGAAAAUAUCAGUCCCCUAAAACUAAAAAGAAGAAAAGAAAAUAUCAGGCCCAGGUGGCUUCACAUGUAAAUCCUAGCAAAUUUUUAAGGAAGAAAUAAUACCAAUUAAAUAUGAUAUCUUACAGAAUGUAGAAGAGGAGGUAACUCUUUUCAACUUUUUUAUGACACUAAAAUAACCCUAAUCUCCAAAUCAGAAAAAAUCAUUAUAAGAAAAUGACAGAGUUCUCAUGAACUUAGACACAAAAAUUCUCUAUAAAAUAAUAGAAAAUCAAAUCCAGCAAUAUAUAAAAAGGACAAUACAUUUUGACUGUAGAGGGAUGAAUUGUGUCCUCUAAACAAAUACUGAAGGACAGUGUCCUCAGCAAGAUGUUGGAUAGAAGCUUUCAAUCCUCAUUCCCCAGCAGAAACGGGGAUCUUGACAUACCCAAGACAAGAGGACCAUUGUUAGAGGCUGGCAGUCUGGCAGAGGGAGCCCAAUACCCUACUGGAGGAAAAGGUUCAAGAGUAAACACAUUGAGGAAGUUGAUCUCCAGCACCUGAAGCCCUUCUCAAAAACGUUGAUAUAAUCAAGAUUUGCCCUGCCAAAAAUCGAUCUAUCACUGCCCACGUGCCCUGCAUCUGCAGUUCAGUGCUAGAAGUCCUAAGGAGGUUCUCCUGAGGGUAUUUUCCACUCACUUACUAAGCAAUAUUUUAAAAAUAAUUACGGGUUCCUUGCUCAUUUUGCUUAAGCUGUUCUGUAUUGAAAGAGUUUCCUUAUAUUUCCUGAAACGUUUCCAGUGCUGAUAUGGAUUCUUCCGUAUUAUCAUAUUCCUAGUUCAGUUUAAUAGAUCUUUGGUGAAGGUGGGCUUCUAUCAGGGAUGGUUAUGUCAACAAAGGUAGCUUUAGGGAAUAUGUUUAGAGGGUGUUACAAUGGCUACAAUGACAGUUAGCCUUUUGUUUUAUCCUUUCACCCAUUGGAAUGCUUUUAUGGGUCAUUGGCCACUUCAACUGGGCCUGAGUUUACUUCAAAGCAGGGAAGCUUUGGGUUUGUGAUGGAGUUGACAAUGUUGAAAAAGGGUUUGGUCCACCAGUCGAUCACUUCGUACCUUAAAAUUACUUCAUUCUAGAGGCAAAAGCCCUCAUUCUAACUUUCACAAAACACCCUUUCCUCAGGCCAGUUCUACUGAAUUCUCCUGACAGAGACCUGAGCAGAGCCUCAGCUGUAUGGCAGCACACUUGGGAUAACAGGGUGUGGAUAACGUGUCUCCAUCUGAUGCGGGAGAAUUGCAGGUCCUCAGCCUGACAGCGUACCUGCUCCACGGCAUAAGCUGCAUUGAGUGUGGGUCGCCAGCAACAUCGGCUUCUCCAUCUGGUCUUGGCAGGAGAAGUUCUAUAGUAGCUGCAGAAAUAUUUGGGAGGACCUUCAAAUGUGUCUCUAUUGUUGGGAAAGUUUCUUUACAAUCAGAAAAGUAAAGACAGUUCAGGGUCAUUUUCACAUGUGUUCACAUUAGUGGCCUUCGUAACAGUAAACCCACAAGCCAAAGUCCUAGUCGUGAAGCUGGAGCUCCUUGACCUAAUAGUUCCUACACUUCUGCAAACCUUCCAAGGGUAUCAGCUGGAAGGGAUAGGUCAUUGUUGCCAACGGUGGCCAGAAGGUGCAAGAAGCCUUGGUGCAGCAGACUGCCUGACACUCCACAUGCCCUUCUGACUCAGUCCCAAACCAGCAAAACUGCUAAACGGAACUCCAUGCAGCUAUUGGUGCACAAUUGGCAAAAUAAACUGUGCAAUACAGGUGCCAAAUCAAAAUGUGUAUAAAAAAUACACUGGAUUAAUUCUAGGUUAACUCAUGUAGAAAGGGUUCAAAGUCUGCAAAGGAUGGAGAAACAGGAGUAAUUCUCUGUGUUAAAAGACAAAUAUUUGCAUGAAUGUUUGAUGUAAUUUGUGAUCAUAAGAAAGUGCUUACACCUGACAGAUAAAGUUGAAACUGUCCUUCCUGUGUUCAUAGUUAAUGACAUUUUUCUGGUUUUGAAGUGUUAAUUUCGAUAGUUUUAAUGUAUCAGAAAAUCAUCUUUUAAUUCAAAUUUUCAGAUUUAUUAGCAUGCAUUUGCACAUAGCAUUCCUAUAACUAUUUCCCACAUGAUGUAGAUUAUAUUCACUUCCUUAUUUGUAAUUUUUACAAAUUCUUCUUAUUCUGUAUUUUCUAAUGUUCAUGUUUUUACUUCUCCAUUUAUUCUGCAGACAAUUUUCCAUUACAUAUAUUUUAAAAGUUAACUUUCAUAAUUACUAAGUCUGUUGUUUUCUUUAUCUGUCUAUUUCUUAUUUACUUAUGCAUAAUAAAUCCUCUCUUUUUAAAAACUAUUGCUUUUUAUACAUUAUGGCAUUUAAUGAAAUACGUUAGUUUCUUUUUUAAAUAAGUUACUUCUGCCUGUAAAGUUAUCAAGGCUUUGAACAGAUAUUUCAAAGAAGAUAUACAAAUGCCAAAUAAGGACAUGAGAAACUGUUCAAAAUCAUUAGUAGUCAUCAAGAAAAUACCAGUGAAAAUCACAAUCAGAUAUCGCAACCCAC
This 4145-nucleotide long non-coding RNA is filed under the name Homo sapiens (human). RNAcentral's name for it is "HSALNT0123057". Lineage: Eukaryota; Metazoa; Chordata; Mammalia; Primates; Hominidae. The record is from RNAcentral.